Molecule: long non-coding RNA, 153 nt
Organism: Juglans microcarpa x Juglans regia
Lineage: Eukaryota; Viridiplantae; Streptophyta; Magnoliopsida; Fagales; Juglandaceae
Exons: 3
Source: RefSeq, a predicted model, not a curated record
AGAGAGAGAGAGAGAGAUAGAGAGAGAGUUUAGUGAGAAAGUGGUGAGGCUGUCGGCGCAGAGAGUAACUAACAGAGAGAGAAAAGGAGAGAGGAUGUUGAGAAAUGAAGGUCUGGGCACAGCAGCUGAAGGGAAGGAGCUAGAAGAAAAGAC